AGAACGAACGCUGGCGGCAUGCCUAACACAUGCAAGUCGAACGAGACCUUUCGGGGUCUAGUGGCGCACGGGUGCGUAACGCGUGGGAAUCUGCCCUUGGGUUCGGAAUAACAGUGGGAAACUGCUGCUAAUACCGGAUGAUAUCGAAAGAUCAAAGAUUUAUCGCCCAGGGAUGAGCCCGCGUAGGAUUAGCUAGUUGGUGGGGUAAUGGCUCACCAAGGCGACGAUCCUUAGCUGGUCUGAGAGGAUGAUCAGCCACACUGGGACUGAGACACGGCCCAGACUCCUACGGGAGGCAGCAGUGGGGAAUAUUGGACAAUGGGCGAAAGCCUGAUCCAGCAAUGCCGCGUGAGUGAUGAAGGCCUUAGGGUUGUAAAGCUCUUUUACCAGGGAUGAUAAUGACAGUACCUGGAGAAUAAGCUCCGGCUAACUCCGCGCCAGCAGCCGC
This 448-nucleotide ribosomal RNA is filed under the name uncultured bacterium. Its description in RNAcentral is "SSU rRNA". It matches the Rfam family "Bacterial small subunit ribosomal RNA", at positions 26 to 518 of the family's 1533-position model. The record is from RNAcentral.